RNAcentral lists this ribosomal RNA (233 nucleotides) under uncultured bacterium. RNAcentral's name for it is "partial 16S ribosomal RNA". It matches the Rfam family "Bacterial small subunit ribosomal RNA", at positions 794 to 1039 of the family's 1533-position model. The record is from RNAcentral.
UCCACGCCGUAAACGAUGUCAACUAGCCGUUGGGUCUAUUUAUAGGCUUAGUGGCGGAGCUAACGUAUUAAGUUGACCGCCUGGGGAGUACGGCCGCAAGGUUAAAACUCAAAUGAAUUGACGGGGGCCCGCACAAGCGGUGGAGCAUGUGGUUUAAUUCGAUGCAACGCGAAGAACCUUACCUAGCAUAGAAAUCAGUUAGAGAAUAGAGUGCCUUCGGGCUUGAGACAGGU